RNAcentral lists this long non-coding RNA (2064 nucleotides) under Lonchura striata (white-rumped munia). Its description in RNAcentral is "domestica (Bengalese finch) lncRNA (ENSLSDG00000004468.1)". Lineage: Eukaryota; Metazoa; Chordata; Aves; Passeriformes; Estrildidae. The record is from RNAcentral.
UAAAUUAAUUAAAUUAAUUAGCUCUAAAAUUAUGCAAUGAAGAUGAUUGCACACUGCAACAAAUUCAACAUCUAAAAUCAAACUUGACAACAUUUCCCAUGAAAUUUUUGCUGAACAGAAGUGUUUAUUAUAGAAAUAAAACUUUAUUAAAUGUUUGUUAUCUGACAUAAACCAGUUCCAGUUACUCAUCUAUUUUAAUAGAAAACCAAAACAAUCCCCUAACUGUUUUACUCAGAGAUAAGUAAUCCUUGAAGAAGAUAGCUCGCUAUCCAAAAGCAAGUUUAUUUGUUCAAUUGUCUACAUUUUAUACCUACCCACAGUUUAAGAAUUGGGUUAAUGGUCAGUGACCAUCCCGUUCAUUUCUAUUUGUGUUUAAGCUGUCAAUAUAGCACAUAAAACAAAAAAGUUGGAGAAGUUUAAUCUUGAAAUUCUGGAAAAUUAAAAUCUCUUUCAUGGAGUUUCCACACUUAAGCAAAUUGCCACAGUCAGUGCACUGAAUUCUUGCACUGAAAAGUUUGCUCAAGGCAAAGGGGAAGUGCAUUUGUGGAAAACAAAUUUUAUUUUAAGACAGAUAACCAAAACUUGUAUUCUAAAAAUACAGACUGGAGGGAAAGCUGAUUGUUCACCCAUUAUUCUUUAAUAAGAAAAAUUUAAGAACUGAAUUGAGGUCUUUCAAAUCCUUAUGUUGUAAAAGGGGACUUCUUUUAUGAUACUCAUGUCCAAAAUAACCCUCAUUGCACUAAAAGGGUCUGUUGCAGCUGACAAAUAAGGAAGUAAACAGAGUAAAACGGUUUGGCCUUAGUGAUUCUCUGGCCAGCAGGUGGCAAACUCGGGUUUUUCCAAAACCAGGUUUAGUGAGGAAUUCAGUGUUCUGCAUCUCCUUGCUCAGGGCAGGGCACUGGGGGUGCUGGGCCCUGCAGGGAGGGAGGAGCUGUUUGUGCAUUGCUGAACAACACGAGGGGGAGACCAGGCCUGGCAGAAACAGUUUAAGUCUUGAGAAUUUUACUAUUUCCUCAAGUCCAUGGAUGUUAAUUAGCUCCAUCUUCUGGAAGAUGUGGAGCUGACUGAUGAAAGCCUUCAAUACUCAGACUGAACCCACCACCAACCCCAAGGACUUCUGACCACCAACCCCAACAAAACUUCACCUUCAAAACCAACAACUUCUCAUCAUCAAAACAAACAACUUACCUUCACCGACUUCUUAUCUUCAAACCUGACAUUACCAAUAGUGACCAUCAAAACUUAAGAUUUAUUAUCAAUUACCAUCAAGACAAAAUCCAGUCAUAAGUGGUGCUUAACAUUUCUGUACAGAAUUUUACCAUAUAAGAACUUUUUUUUAGUUUUUAACUUGAGACUUUGUUUUUUAAAAUAUACUUCUAAUCCAAAAGGGUGAAAACUUUUUACAACUGCUGAACAUUGUAAAUUACCACAUAAAUAUCUCACUGAGCUGAGAUAAUGCCCUGGAAUAGACCAUCUCAAAUGCUGCUUAAUUACAGACUCAGGUUGACUUUAUGUUAUUCAUGUAAUGUUACUCCAAGUUAAGACAUCUGGUGCAAGAGCGACCAGGAAUUAUAAAAGUUGCAACUGACAGUCUGUAUAUUUAAUUUAAAGACUUAUUUAAAACUUCACAAGUUUUGCAAGAGCUUCAUUUUUUUUUUUUUUCCUGUGGUCUGACACUAGAAACUAAUUUACUUCACAUUUGAGUUAUAUUCAAGAUCUGAAGAAAAUCUUCUGGUUUUUGACAUUGUGAAACAACGAAUAUGCAGUUCUGAAUGUAUCUCUCAAGACUAUUUGUAUAUUGUUCCAUAAGUUUUUAUUACAUUUUCUUAAUAUACUGUCAUUUGUCUUAAGUCUCAGUUGUCUGUUUUGUCUCUCUAAAGUGUCUAGUUACAGACAAAUUCAUACUGUGAUUUUUAUUUUUAUUAUUAAAUGCUAUCAAACUGUGAUGCACUUAUUAUUCACUGGUCCUGCAUCAGGAGAUGAGUGGGGAACCUGUAUUAAAUACAGUUCAUCUGAAUAAUCUGUCUGGUUUAUACAAGCUGUGUUGUUCAGAGAUGUCUAAAG